GGUGUAGGGGUUAACAUGCCUGCCUGUCACGCAGGAGAUCGCGGGUUCAAAUCCCGUCGGGA
RNAcentral lists this transfer RNA (62 nucleotides) under Listeria monocytogenes. Its description in RNAcentral is "tRNA-Asp". It matches the Rfam family "tRNA", at positions 9 to 63 of the family's 71-position model. From Rfam's summary of the family: Transfer RNA (tRNA) molecules are approximately 80 nucleotides in length. Lineage: Bacteria; Bacillati; Bacillota; Bacilli; Caryophanales; Listeriaceae. The record is from RNAcentral.